GGGAAAAGCUCAAAGUUGGAACCUGGCUGUCCUAGAUAGUCCGGAUUGUAAACUAAAGAGCGUGAAUCCAGGCAAGCCGGUUGAUCAAGUCCUUUGGAAUGAGGCGCCACUGAGGGUGAGAGCCCCGUAAAUCGACUGAGCAUUUGUCUUUUGUGUUUCGCGUUCAAAGAGUCAGGUUGUUUGGGAAUGCAGCCUAAAGCUGGUGGUAAAUCCCACCUAAAGCUAAAUACAGGCGAGAGACCGAUAGCGAACAAGUACCGUGAGGGAAAGAUGAAAAGUACUUUGAAAAGAGAGUUAAACAGUAUGUGAAAUUGCCAAGAGGGAAGCAUUUGGAGUUAGACUGACUUGGAGUUAAUCAGCUUGGUCUUUGGACUGGGUGUACUUGACUUCUAUGUCUGCCAAUAGCAGUUAGUCCUGGUGGAAAAAACUGAAGGGAAGGUAGUCCUUCGGGAUGUUUAUAGACCUUUGGAAAAUACACUGGGAUUGACUGAGGAAUGCAGUAGAUGCUAUUAAGGCUUCGUCUAGUAGGUGUUAGGUGAAGGUACUUGGUAUUUUCAGCUUGCUGAUGUGCUAGGUUACUUGAGCUUAAUUGCUUGCUAGAACUGUAAUCUACUUUGGUUAUUGGCUUAAUGACUCUAAAUGGCCC
This 646-nucleotide ribosomal RNA is filed under the name Lichtheimia corymbifera. RNAcentral's name for it is "partial large subunit ribosomal RNA". It matches the Rfam family "Eukaryotic large subunit ribosomal RNA", at positions 100 to 650 of the family's 3401-position model. Lineage: Eukaryota; Fungi; Mucoromycota; Mucoromycetes; Mucorales; Lichtheimiaceae. The record is from RNAcentral.